This 242-nucleotide ribosomal RNA is filed under the name uncultured bacterium. Its description in RNAcentral is "partial 16S ribosomal RNA". It matches the Rfam family "Bacterial small subunit ribosomal RNA", at positions 1264 to 1500 of the family's 1533-position model. The record is from RNAcentral.
CAAGCGGAUCUCUUAAAGACUGUUCUCAGUUCGGACUGCAGUCUGCAACUCGACUGCACGAAGCUGGAAUCGCUAGUAAUCGCGGAUCAGCACGCCGCGGUGAAUACGUUCCCGGGCCUUGUACACACCGCCCGUCACACCAUGGAAGUCUGCAAUGCCCGAAGCCGGUGGCCUAACCACUUAUGUGGAAGGAGCCGUCUAAGGCAGGGCAGAUGACUGGGGUGAAGUCGUAACAAGGUAGC